ACGCUCGACACCUACGGGAGGUAGCAGUGGGGAAUAUUGGGCAAUGGGCGCAAGCCUGACCCAGCAACGCCGCGUGAAGGAAGAAGGCUUUCGGGUUAUAAACUUCUUUUGUCAGGGACGAAGACGUGACGGUACCUGACGAAUAAGCUCCGGCUAACUACGUGCCAGCAGCCGCGGUAAUCUGAGCGGGCUGGCAAGGC
This 200-nucleotide ribosomal RNA is filed under the name uncultured bacterium. Its description in RNAcentral is "partial 16S ribosomal RNA". It matches the Rfam family "Bacterial small subunit ribosomal RNA", at positions 328 to 539 of the family's 1533-position model. The record is from RNAcentral.